RNAcentral lists this ribosomal RNA (375 nucleotides) under uncultured organism. Its description in RNAcentral is "partial 16S ribosomal RNA". It matches the Rfam family "Bacterial small subunit ribosomal RNA", at positions 527 to 896 of the family's 1533-position model. The record is from RNAcentral.
GUAGGUGGCAAGCGUUGUCCGGGAAUUAUUGGGGCGUAAAGCGCGCGCAGGCGGUUCUUUAAGUCUGAUGUGAAAGCCCACGGGCUCAACCGUGGAGGGUCAUUGGAAACUGGAGAACUUGAGUACAGAAGAGGAAAGCGGAAUUCCACGUGUAGCGGUGAAAUGCGUAGAGAUGUGGAGGAACACCAGUGGCGAAGGCGGCUUUCUGGUCUGUAACUGACGCUGAGGCGCGAAAGCGUGGGGAGCAAACAGGAUUAGAUACCCUGGUAGUGCACGCCGUAAACGAUGAGUGCUAAGUGUUAGGGGGUUUCCGCCCCUUAGUGCUGCAGCUAACGCAUUAAGCACUCCGCCUGGGGAGUACGGCCGCAAAGGCUG